Molecule: small RNA, 486 nt
Filed under: Histoplasma capsulatum
Lineage: Eukaryota; Fungi; Ascomycota; Eurotiomycetes; Onygenales; Ajellomycetaceae
Also listed under: 1 other name
Description: hypothetical RNA
Source: RNAcentral
AUCACUGCUAAUCUAUCGCUGCUAAUCUAUCGCUGCUAAUCUAUCGCUGCUAAUCUAUCACUGCUAAUCUAUCACUGCUAAUCUAUCGCUGCUAAUCUAUCGCUGCCAAUCUAUCUACCGCUGCCAAUCUAUCUAUCACUGCUAAUCUAUCGCUGCUAAUCUAUCGCUGCUAAUCUAUCGCUGCUAAUCUAUCGCCGCCAAUCUAUCUACCACUGCCAACCUACCUACCGCUGCCAAUCUAUCUAUCACUGCCAAUCUAUAUAGGGUAAAUCAUGGUCCCAUUUGGUUCCAUUUUGUAAAAUGGAAUCAAAUGAGAUCAGAAUCAUUAAUUUAUUAGUAAAACAUGAUCUGAAACUAGAUUUAUAAUAUAAACAGUGUAAAAUAACUAAUUUACUAAACACUAUAUGAGAUCAGAACUAAGAUAUCUAAUAAUAAAACUGAGAAAAAAUUUAGUUUCAGUCUCAUACAUAAUCAUACAGCCAGUCU